GAUAAACGCUGACAGAAUGCUUAACACAUGCAAGUCGAUGAUGGGAGCUAGCUUGCUAGAAGAAGUCAUGGCGGACGGGUGAGUAACGUGUAAAGAACUUACCAUAUAGACUGGGAUAACAGAGGGAAACUUCUGAUAAUACUGGCUAAGUUAGUAGUAGCAUUACUAAGUAAUGAAAGGUAGCAAUACGCUAUAUGAGAGCUUUGCAUCCUAUUAGCUAGUUGGUGGGGUAAAAGCCUACCAAGGCGAUGAUAGGUAGCCGGCCUGAGAGGGUGGACAGCCACAAGGGGACUGAGAUACGGCCCCGACUCCUACGGGAGGCAGCAGUGGGGAAUAUUGGACAAGGGAGGCAACUCUGAUCCAGCAAUUCUGUGUGUGUGAAGAAGGUUUUAGGACUGUAAAACACUUUUAGUAGGGAAGAAAGAAAUGACGGUACCUACAGAAGAAGCGACGGCUAAAUACGUG
This 465-nucleotide ribosomal RNA is filed under the name uncultured bacterium. Its description in RNAcentral is "partial 16S ribosomal RNA". It matches the Rfam family "Bacterial small subunit ribosomal RNA", at positions 28 to 507 of the family's 1533-position model. The record is from RNAcentral.